AGAAUCUGAGGUAAAUGGUUA
This 21-nucleotide non-coding RNA is filed under the name Arabidopsis thaliana (thale cress). Lineage: Eukaryota; Viridiplantae; Streptophyta; Magnoliopsida; Brassicales; Brassicaceae. The record is from RNAcentral.